Molecule: ribosomal RNA, 427 nt
Filed under: uncultured bacterium
Lineage: Bacteria
Description: partial 16S ribosomal RNA
Rfam family: Bacterial small subunit ribosomal RNA
Source: RNAcentral
UGGGGAAUAUUGGACAAUGGGCGAAAGCCUGAUCCAGCCAUGCCGCGUGUGUGAAGAAGGUCUUCGGAUUGUAAAGCACUUUAAGUUGGGAGGAAGGGCAUUAACCUAAUACGUUAGUGUUUUGACGUUACCGACAGAAUAAGCACCGGCUAACUCUGUGCCAGCAGCCGCGGUAAUACAGAGGGUGCAAGCGUUAAUCGGAAUUACUGGGCGUAAAGCGCGCGUAGGUGGUUUGUUAAGUUGGAUGUGAAAUCCCCGGGCUCAACCUGGGAACUGCAUUCAAAACUGACUGACUAGAGUAUGGUAGAGGGUGGUGGAAUUUCCUGUGUAGCGGUGAAAUGCGUAGAUAUAGGAAGGAACACCAGUGACGAAGGCGACCACCUGGACUAAUACUGACACUGAGGUGCGAAAGCGUGGGGAGCAAACA